GUGCAAAUAGGACCUGGCCUGCAGAGGGGUGCAAAUAGGACCUGGCCUGCAGAGGGCCAUAGAGCUCGCCAGAUUGUAGCCCUAAAUAAACGGAAGUCGGUUAGGAAUCCAGAAGUAGAAAAUUCUAUCAGAUAUUAUUACAGGAAAUGUUACCUGUACAGCAGAGAUCCUCAGCUCACAGUGGACCUGUGCAUUAUUCCACUCUCCCACAGUAUGAAGGUACUGUGAACUUGUUGUUUAAACCAUUUUACCCGUUGAAUGUAGAAUCUGACAAGUGAGCUAAUAUUAGUAAUAGCAUUAUUAGAGUUUAUAAAUUGU
Molecule: long non-coding RNA, 318 nt
Organism: Oncorhynchus gorbuscha (pink salmon)
Lineage: Eukaryota; Metazoa; Chordata; Actinopteri; Salmoniformes; Salmonidae
Exons: 3
Source: RefSeq, a predicted model, not a curated record